Molecule: transfer RNA, 67 nt
Filed under: Chalcophana sp. N69
Lineage: Eukaryota; Metazoa; Arthropoda; Insecta; Coleoptera; Chrysomelidae
Description: tRNA-Asn
Source: RNAcentral
UUAAUUGAAACCAAAAAAGAGGUAUAUCACUGUUAAUGAUAAAAAUGAGAAAAAUUCUCCAAUUAAA